UACGGAGGAUGCGAGCGUUAUCCUGAUUUAUUGGGUUUAAAGGGUGCGUAGGCGGGAUGCCAAGUCAGCGGUAAAAAUGCGGUGCUCAACGCCGUCGAGCCGUUGAAACUGGCGUUCUUGAGUGGGCGAGAAGUAUGCGGAAUGCGUGGUGUAGCGGUGAAAUGCAUAGAUAUCACGCAGAACUCCGAUUGCGAAGGCAGCAUACCGGCGCCCUACUGACGCUGAGGCACGAAAGCGUGGGUAUCGAACAGG
RNAcentral lists this ribosomal RNA (252 nucleotides) under uncultured bacterium. RNAcentral's name for it is "partial 16S ribosomal RNA". It matches the Rfam family "Bacterial small subunit ribosomal RNA", at positions 524 to 776 of the family's 1533-position model. The record is from RNAcentral.